AUUUGCCAUAGUUUUACUGAAUUAGUUACCGUCAGAAACACCCUCUGGUAAAUCCGCCAUAUUGUUUACCCCGUAAUGCAUCAUGGUCUAUGCUCACCAAAAAAUUAUUUCAAAAACUAAAUUUUUCAAUAAACAUUUUGUGCAAAUUGCAAACAUGAUUUUCAACAAAAAUUUUUAAGAAAAACAAACACAAAAAUAAAAAGUUGAAACAAUAAAAUAAAAAGUUGAAAUACUAAAUUAAAAAGUUGAAACACUAAAAUAAAUAAUAAAAAGUUGAAGGACUAAAAUAAAAAGUUGAAACACUCUGAAAAUAAAAGGUUGAAACACUAAAAUAAAAAGUUGAAAUACUAAAAUAAAAAGUUGAAGCACUAAAAUAAAAA
This is a non-coding RNA of Paramuricea clavata, 380 nucleotides long. NCBI's taxonomy places the organism in Eukaryota, Metazoa, Cnidaria, Anthozoa, Malacalcyonacea, Plexauridae. The record is from the annotation of a GenBank genome assembly.